UUUCUUUGUGAAAUUAAGUCGCUUAAUGAAAGUUUUUUAUAAUUAUUGAGCUCCAUCCAAGCUUUUUAUCAUUUAUUGAACUAACUUUAUUAGGGGAAAGAUAAAAGUACAUAUGUAGUUUCAUUGAGAUGGGAUAUGUUAUGUAACCCAGUUUGUUGACAGAUCAAGUUCAUGUUAUUAUCUAGAGGCCGUGCAAUUUUUGAAAUGACUGGUUAUACUAAUGUCAUGCUCAAGGACAUGGUUUGUAAGGCCUUAUAAAAUUCAAAAUUAAGUCUGCCAUUUAAUAAUGAGAAAUGCUAUUCAGAAAAAAGCAUAGAAAUGAUUGAAAAAUUGUAUUGUUUGCAAAAUUAGCAGUUGUCUAAACUGAAUAUCCUAUUCAAUAAAAUAAAAAGUAAACUCAAUUACAGUUGUUACUUCCUUGAUUACUUGCCAAGCGGAUCCCAGGCUCCCAUGAGCUGUGGCAAAAUGCUGAGACAACGCGAGGAAGAAGAAGAAAUGACAUUUCAAUAUUAUUGAUACAUGCCAUGCCACUUACACACCAUACAGAAAUGGAUUACCUAUCUAAUAAACAUUAUUGUAUUUAGUGAA
Molecule: long non-coding RNA, 588 nt
Organism: Cydia pomonella (codling moth)
Lineage: Eukaryota; Metazoa; Arthropoda; Insecta; Lepidoptera; Tortricidae
Exons: 2
Source: RefSeq, a predicted model, not a curated record